Molecule: small RNA, 117 nt
Filed under: Photorhabdus luminescens
Lineage: Bacteria; Pseudomonadati; Pseudomonadota; Gammaproteobacteria; Enterobacterales; Morganellaceae
Description: RtT sRNA
Rfam family: RtT RNA
About the family: This family represents a bacterial cis-regulatory element known as RtT RNA. The exact function of RtT is unknown although it is thought that it may be involved in changing the cellular response in relation to amino acid starvation.
Source: RNAcentral
CUCAGUUGGUAGAACAGUUGGCUUUUAAUCAAUGGGUUGCAGGUUCGAGCCGAGCGAAGCGAGACAACAGCGCGUAAGCGCUGGCCCGAAGGGCGAGUCAUCCUGCACGACCCACCA